This 270-nucleotide ribosomal RNA is filed under the name uncultured prokaryote. Its description in RNAcentral is "partial 16S ribosomal RNA". It matches the Rfam family "Bacterial small subunit ribosomal RNA", at positions 524 to 792 of the family's 1533-position model. The record is from RNAcentral.
UACGGAGGGUCCAAGCGUUAUCCGGAUUUAUUGGGUUUAAAGGGUGCGUAGGCGGCCAUUUAAGUCAGCGGUGAAAUUUUGCAGCUUAACUGUAACAGUGCCGUUGAUACUGUUUGGCUAGGAUUUGGUUGUAGUGUGCGGAAUGUGUGGUGUAGCGGUGAAAUGCUUAGAUAUCACACAGAACACCGAUUGCGAAGGCAGCACACUAAGUCAUUAUUGACGCUGAGGCACGAAAGUGUGGGGAGUCAAACAGGAUUAGAUACCCGGGUA